Molecule: ribosomal RNA, 253 nt
Filed under: uncultured prokaryote
Description: partial 16S ribosomal RNA
Rfam family: Bacterial small subunit ribosomal RNA
Source: RNAcentral
ACGUAGGGUGCAAGCGUUAAUCGGAAUUACUGGGCGUAAAGCGCACGUAGGCGGAUUUGUAAGUCAGGGGUGAAAUCCCGGGGCUCAACCUCGGAACUGCCUUUGAUACUGCAAAUCUCGAGUCCGAGAGAGGUGAGUGGAAUUCCUAGUGUAGAGGUGAAAUACGUAGAUAUUAGGAAGAACACCAGUGGCGAAGGCGGCUCACUGGCUCGGUACUGACGCUGAGGCGCGAAAGCGUGGGGAGCAAACAGGA